Molecule: long non-coding RNA, 3032 nt
Filed under: Physcomitrium patens
Lineage: Eukaryota; Viridiplantae; Streptophyta; Bryopsida; Funariales; Funariaceae
Description: long non-coding RNA (PPAT_LNC001184)
Source: RNAcentral
AAAGUGAAGAGGGUUUUUAAUUGCAUUGAAUCGGCUUUAAGAUGUGAUAGCCUGAGUGUGUGUGUGUUGUUUUAUUUUUAUUUAUUUAUUUAUUUUGUUUAAAUUAUACAUGAAGCUGAUCAAAAAUAAUAAACAAUCACUUAAAUUAACUUAUUUUAUAUAUAUAUUUUUUUACAGUAGAAUUGUUUUUAUGUAGUUGUUUUAUCAGAAAUGUCUGUUUUUGGUAUAAAAUGAGCCUGAAGUAACUGCUUUCAAUCUUCCGAUGGCAAGAUAGCAUUGUUUUAUAUAAUCAAGAGAGUGUGUGAAAUCAUACAUUGUUUGUAUGCUGUAUUGUGAGCAAAAAAAGUCAUUAUGUGGUUUGGAACUAGCUAAAAACUAUUCAAAUGAUAAGAAAGUACCAACUAAACAACAUUAAAAUCACAAACAACAACAUGAACAAAAAAAAAAAUAAUAAUAAAUAAAUAAUAUAAAACAAAAAUAUAAAAAUGCUAUCAAGGAUACACAUAAAAAUGUAACUACAUGAAUCUUAUGUUUUGGUUAGUGGAAUAUAUAAUGGAUAUAUUUAUAUACAAAUAUGGUAUCUUAUUUAUUAAACUUAAUGUCUAUUUAUCUACAAAAAUCACUUAUUGGUUGAGGUUGUUUGCACUGUUUAGAAUCAUAAAUUUAAAUUGUUUAAAAUCAAUUCUACCUCACCUUGAACCCUCUUCCAUCUCCUAUCCUUGUUCUCAACCCUAUUUAGAACACUUCAAUGCUUGGUUCAAUCUAAUGGCAUAAAAAUGAUCACUAGCUUGGUAAAUAUAUUCUAAUAUAUAUAUAUAUAUAUAUAUAUAGAGAGAGAGAGAGAGAGAGAGAUCCACUAAAGUUUGAAUUGAUUUGGAUAUAAUGGUACACAUGCUAAAAAUAAUAAUCAUUAAAUACUAAAGUAAGUUUUAGAAGUCUUGAAAUAAUUAUUGGAACAACAUCUUAUAUUUCCUUCUUUAUGAAUAAUGAGGCCUCCACUCCCUCCCCUUCUUUGGCAUGACUAAAUUGCUACUCUUUUAGCCUCAUUAGAAAUGGGUUUUUGUUUCUUCUGCUCCUUCUAAUAGCUUUGGUCCCUAUGUUGUUGUAGAUGUUGCUCUCAAGAUGUUGCUCUCAAUUAUAGCAUGCGCACUAUGGCUAGCCAUGGCAAGCUCUAUUCUCAAUUAAACUCACUUGUUUCAUGACAAUCAACAAAUCUCAAGGUGAAACAAUCUAUGUUUUAGGAUUUUGUAUGCCAAAAUAUGUAUUCUCUCAUGGGCAAUUAUAUAUUGCAUUGUUGUGUAUUGAAUCCAAACAUAAUAUCAUACUAUUUUCUAACAACAUUGAAUUCUUUAAAUAUGUUUCAAAUUUUGUUUGUAGUGAAAUAUUCAAACUCUAACAUUUUCCAUAACUGUAAGCCAAUGAAAUAUUUAUGUAUAUUUUUUUUCCAAUGCAAAAGUAAUGGCCACAUUGCUAGUAUAUAUAUAAGCAUAUAUAAUUGAUGCAUAAAGACAUCAACUAUUGUAAAAUUAUAACUAUAAGUUAUAAAUUAAUCAUAACUUUAUUAGUAAGUUAAUGAUCUUUUACAGAUAUCAUUACUUAAAGACAUCAAUUAAGUUAUUUAAUAUAGAUUAAAUGAUGAUUGUUAAUUACAUCAAAAUUUUAGAUGCUUUCAAUUUAUUAAAAAGUGAUUUAACUCAAGACUAUUUUAAGAAUGCGGUUUUAUGGUGCAUUCACAUGACUGAUAGUCCAUAUAUCUUUGUUAACAACAUAUUUUGUAUACUAGAUGUGUACAUGUAUGCAAAUAUUUUAUGUUUCUACAUUUCAAUACAAUAUUUCUUUUCCUUUUUCAUAAAAUAAUAAUGCUUACAUCUCAACUAAUUGAUAUUUAUGGAAAGCUACAAAAUUUCUAUUCAAUGUUAAAAUGUGUGAAAAUGCAUCUGCUUCUCUUAAUAAUAAUGUGUUUUUAUUUUCAAUAAAAAAAUAAUAUAAAUCAAAUUUAUAAAUAAAUGAUAAGUUGCUAAACUUCCAAAAACAAUUAAUCAACUUGUUGUGGAAGUUUGUGGAAAGAUAAUACAAUAAACCAUGGGUGGUAACCUUGCUACAUUUUGGAACCUUUCUGCUCUCUUUUGUAACCUUUUUGAUUUACUUUGGUUAGACCUUUUGAAGAAGAAAGUAAUACAAAUCAUGUUGUAAUGCUUGCACCUGAAGUUUUGUGUACCAAAUGAUUCAAAAGAAAAUUAGAAAUUGAACAACGAGUUUUUAGAUUUUGAGAUAAUAGGAUAAAACACAAAACUUGAGUAUUUUUCUAUCUAAUGUAUUUAUUUUUAUCUGGUACAUGGCUUGAGAUUAUUUUUAAACAUUCCCUGUGUUGCAUGGACAUGUUGAUUCAAGCUUCUAAUCAAGUAAUUUAACAGAAUAGAUUGAUUUAACAAAACAUCUCUAUAGAUGCAUGUGGAUUAAAACUCCAAAAGAAUUAACAUACACUCAACUCAAUCAUUAUUAUAUAUAUGGAAUAACUUCCGUUAUUAGGUUUACUUUUUGAUUUUCAAUUAAGAAUCAAUUCAAUAAGAACAUGGGUUUAUACAAAGUAUGAUAUGAUCAGAGGAGAUACUACUAAUCUUUGACUGCGCUAAGUUUCAAUUCAUCAAAAUAUAACCAAUCAUAAUUAAUACGAAAUAUUGAUAAAUAAUCAAAUAAUACUUAAAGAAUAGCAUGAAAGUUAUGAGGUAACAUGUCUAAUCUGUGUAAGAUUUGAACAUUUAUCACUUUUUGAGUAACUAACUCAGAAAAACUUUAAAAUCCAAAAUAAAUCAUGCAAUAGAAAAAAGUAGACAACUAAGGAAAAUGACAAAACCUGACUCACGGCAGUGAUUUUCACUGGAUUUCGCAAUAUUCCAAUUAAAGCCUCUCCACUACAAUGAAAACAUAUAUUCCAUAAAUAUGCAUUCACGAUCGCAUAAUACUUUUCUAACUAGAUUUCCCAGUUUUUGAUAUAAAAUCCUAAUCACCAAACACCACUUUUGCAAACCAUC